Molecule: ribosomal RNA, 253 nt
Filed under: uncultured bacterium
Lineage: Bacteria
Description: partial 16S ribosomal RNA
Rfam family: Bacterial small subunit ribosomal RNA
Source: RNAcentral
UACGGAGGGUGCAAGCGUUAUCCGGAUUCACUGGGUUUAAAGGGUGCGUAGGCGGAUAGGUAAGUCCGUGGUGAAAUCCUGCAGCUUAACUGCAGAACUGCCGUGGAUACUAUCUAUCUUGAAUAUCGUGGAGGUUAGCAGAAUAUGUCAUGUAGCGGUGAAAUGCUUAGAUAUGACAUAGAAUACCCAUUGCGAAGGCAGCUAACUACGCGAUAAUUGACGCUGAUGCACGAAAGCGUGGGGAUCAAACAGG